RNAcentral lists this transfer RNA (71 nucleotides) under mouse gut metagenome. It matches the Rfam family "tRNA". From Rfam's summary of the family: Transfer RNA (tRNA) molecules are approximately 80 nucleotides in length. Their secondary structure includes four short double-helical elements and three loops (D, anti-codon, and T loops). Further hydrogen bonds mediate the characteristic L-shaped molecular structure. tRNAs have two regions of fundamental functional importance: the anti-codon, which is responsible for specific mRNA codon recognition, and the 3' end, to which the tRNAs corresponding amino acid is attached (by aminoacyl-tRNA synthetases). tRNAs cope with the degeneracy of the genetic code in two manners: having more than one tRNA (with a specific anti-codon) for a particular amino acid; and 'wobble' base-pairing, i.e. permitting non-standard base-pairing at the 3rd anti-codon position. RNAcentral also lists the same sequence under 1 other name. The record is from RNAcentral.
AAUCGUAGCUCAGUUGGUUAGAGCGCUGCCCUGUCACGGCAGAGGUCGCGAGUUCGAGUCUCGUCGGUUCC